This 468-nucleotide ribosomal RNA is filed under the name uncultured bacterium. RNAcentral's name for it is "partial 16S ribosomal RNA". It matches the Rfam family "Bacterial small subunit ribosomal RNA", at positions 28 to 507 of the family's 1533-position model. The record is from RNAcentral.
GACGAACGCUGGCGGCGUGCUUAACACAUGCAAGUCGAACGGCAAGGCCCUGCUUUUGUGGUGUGCUCGAGUGGCGAACGGGUGAGUAACACGUGAGUAACCUGCCCUUGACUUUGGGAUAACUUCAGGAAACUGGGGCUAAUACCGGAUAGGAUCUCCUGCUCCAUGGUGGGGGUUGGAAAGUUUCGGCGGUUGGGGAUGGACUCGCGGCUGAUCAGCUUGUUGGUGGGGUAGUGGCUUGCCCAGGCUUUGACGGGUAGCCGGCCUGAGAGGGUGACCGGCCACAUUGGGACUGAGAUACGGCCCAGACGCCUACGGGAGGCAGCAGUGGGGAAUAUUGCACAAUGGGCGGAAGCCUGAUGCAGCAACGCCGCGUGCGGGAUGACGGCCUUCGGGUUGUAAACCGCUUUCGCCUGUGACGAAGCGUGAGUGACGGUAAUGGGUAAAGAAGCACCGGCUAACUACGUG